UCGAACUCCCAACCUCAGGUGAUCCGCCUGUCUUGGCCUCUCAAGUGCUGGGAUUACAGGGGUGAGCCACCGCGCCCAGCCGGGAGCCCCUAUUUUAAGGACGCUAUUGCUGUGGAGGAGUAACCCCACUUUUAGGAAUCCUUUUCCGUGCGAAAGGCUGUUUGAGAUCAGGCGCAACAACUUCUCCCGCUCAGGUUACCCUCAGAAAGGCUAUGGACCCCGGACUCCGCCCCAGAUUGCAUAACAACUGAGGGGUGGGUCCCUAUUUCCUCUCUGGGAUCUGUAGCCAAUCAUUCACGAGGUAAACAGAACGACCGAGUUUCUCUCAGCCGAGAACUGUGGCUGCCCCUCCGGUGAAAACAGAGGAAGUGGGAGCGGCAGGAAGCGCUUUGGGACCAGGGCGACCCCUGAAGCGUAGAGGAACCAGUAAAUCUUAGUGCUCCUCACUCUUUGCGUCUACGCUGCUUUUAUGAACUGUUAACACUCACUGUGAAGGUCUGCAGCUUCACUCCUUAAGCCAGCGAGACCACAAACCCACUGGGAGGGAUAAACAACUCCAGACGGGAGGAACAAACAACUUCGGGUGCACCACCUUUAUGAACUGUAGCACUCACUGUGAAGGUCUGCAGCUUCACUCCUGAGGCCAGCAAGACCACGAACCCACCAGAAGGAACGAACAACUCCAGAUAUGCCACCUUUAAGGGCUAUAACACUCACCGCGGAAGUCUGCAGCUUCACUCCUGAAGUCAGUGAGACCAUGAACCCACCAGAAGGAAGAAACUCUGGACACAUCUGAACAUCUGAAGGAACAAACUCUGGACACACCAUCUUUAAGAACUGUAACACUCACCGCGAGGGUACACGGCUUCAUUCUUGAAGUCAGCGAGACUAAGAACCCAACAAUUCCGGACACAGCAUGAUCUUGGUUCACUACAACCUGGAUCUCCCAGAGUCAAGCAAUCCUCUCGUCUCAGUCUCCCAAGUAGCUGGAACUACAGGUGUGUGCCACCAUGCCCCACUAAUUUUUGUAUUUAUUGUAGAGACGGUUUCAGCAUGUUGCCCAGGCUGGUCUCCAACUCCUGGACUCAAGUGAUCCUCUCCACCUAGGCCUCCCACAGUGCUGGGAUUACAGGAAUGAGCCACCACGCCCGGCCUAAUUGGAAGUUUUAGAGUGCAGUGGGGAUCACGUGCGUAGAGGUUACUGCUGCCUUAAUUAAAGGAGACAACAUGUUUCAUAAAACUUGGAAAUUGUAGAGGGUGUGGGGAACCACUCAAAUUCAGAAUAUCAAAACAGAACUUUAUUUUUUGUGUAUUUGUUGCCAAUCUUUUUCCCUACAUAUGUAAUGUUUGUUUGUUUGACAUGACUACCAUUUCUGUUUUCAUAAUAUGUUUAAUACUUUUCCUCCACUUAACAAACAUGGCUACGAUUUGCCAAGUUGCUGAUCAUCCUUUUUUUUUUUUUUUCGAGACAGAGUUUCACCCUUGUUGCCCAGGCUGGAGUGCAGUGGCAGAUCUCAGCUCACUACAACCUCUGCCUGCUGGGUUCAAGUGAUUCUCCAGCCUCAGCCUCCC
This 1572-nucleotide long non-coding RNA is filed under the name Homo sapiens (human). RNAcentral's name for it is "HSALNT0103940". Lineage: Eukaryota; Metazoa; Chordata; Mammalia; Primates; Hominidae. The record is from RNAcentral.